Silurus meridionalis is the source of this 211-nucleotide long non-coding RNA. RefSeq lists it as uncharacterized. The transcript is spliced from 3 exons. The record is from RefSeq and is a predicted model, not a curated record. NCBI's taxonomy places the organism in Eukaryota, Metazoa, Chordata, Actinopteri, Siluriformes, Siluridae.
GCUCUGAGGCCUCACCAUACAGCAGCUGUAAUCUCGGAGAUUUGUUCUUCUUUGCCAAUUUGCUUAUCAAAACAACCAAUCAGUGAUCUUGAGGAGUUGGUGCUCAGCAGUUAUGGCUUCGGAUUACUGCUUUUAACACCACAAGAACUAUGGGUAGUUCCUCGCCUUACCAAUUUAUUAUUGCCAACCCACAACUAAUAGCAGUCACUAA